This 460-nucleotide ribosomal RNA is filed under the name uncultured bacterium. RNAcentral describes it as "partial 16S ribosomal RNA". It matches the Rfam family "Bacterial small subunit ribosomal RNA", at positions 338 to 795 of the family's 1533-position model. The record is from RNAcentral.
CCUACGGGUGGCAGCAGUGAGGAAUAUUGGUCAAUGGGCGGAAGCCUGAACCAGCCAAGUCGCGUGAGGGAGUAAGGCCCUACGGGUCGUAAACCUCUUUUGCCGGGGAGCAGUGCCCAGCUCGUGAGCUGGGCGGGAGCGUACCCGGAGAAAAAGCAUCGGCUAACUCCGUGCCAGCAGCCGCGGUAAUACGGAGGAUGCGAGCGUUAUCCGGAUUUAUUGGGUUUAUAGGGUGCGUAGGCGGGCUGUUAAGCCGGCGGUAAAAAUUCAGGGCUCAACCCUGUCGAGCCGUCGGAACUGGCAGUCUUGAGUGGGCGAGAAGUAUGCGGAAUGCGUGGUGUAGCGGUGAAAUGCAUAGAUAUCACGCAGAACGCCGAUUGCGAAGGCAGCAUACCGGCGCCCAACUGACGCUGAGGCACGAAAGCGUGGGGAUCGAACAGGAUUAGAUACCCGAGUAGUC